This 465-nucleotide ribosomal RNA is filed under the name Vreelandella stevensii. RNAcentral's name for it is "partial 16S ribosomal RNA". It matches the Rfam family "Bacterial small subunit ribosomal RNA", at positions 338 to 795 of the family's 1533-position model. The record is from RNAcentral. Lineage: Bacteria; Pseudomonadati; Pseudomonadota; Gammaproteobacteria; Oceanospirillales; Halomonadaceae.
CCUACGGGCGGCAGCAGUGGGGAAUAUUGGACAAUGGGCGAAAGCCUGAUCCAGCCAUGCCGCGUGUGUGAAGAAGGCCUUCGGGUUGUAAAGCACUUUCAGUGGGGAAGAAAGCCUUGGGGCUAAUACCCUCGAGGAAGGACAUCACCCACAGAAGAAGCACCGGCUAACUCCGUGCCAGCAGCCGCGGUAAUACGGAGGGUGCGAGCGUUAAUCGGAAUUACUGGGCGUAAAGCGCGCGUAGGCGGUCUGAUAAGCCGGUUGUGAAAGCCCCGGGCUCAACCUGGGAACGGCAUCCGGAACUGUCAAGCUAGAGUGCAGGAGAGGAAGGUAGAAUUCCCGGUGUAGCGGUGAAAUGCGUAGAGAUCGGGAGGAAUACCAGUGGCGAAGGCGGCCUUCUGGACUGACACUGACGCUGAGGUGCGAAAGCGUGGGUAGCAAACAGGAUUAGAUACCCUAGUAGUC